RNAcentral lists this transfer RNA (71 nucleotides) under Osteolaemus osborni. Its description in RNAcentral is "Osteolaemus tetraspis osborni tRNA-Gln". It matches the Rfam family "tRNA". Rfam says of the family: Transfer RNA (tRNA) molecules are approximately 80 nucleotides in length. Their secondary structure includes four short double-helical elements and three loops (D, anti-codon, and T loops). Lineage: Eukaryota; Metazoa; Chordata; Crocodylia; Crocodylidae. The record is from RNAcentral.
UAGGGGGUACUAUAAUGGAAGUAGGAAGAAUUUUGGUUUCUUUUGUGUGGGUUCAAUCCCUGCCCUCCUAG